AGCGAACGCUGGCGGCAGGCCUAACACAUGCAAGUCGAACGAACUCUUCGGAGUUAGUGGCGGACGGGUGAGUAACACGUGGGAACGUGCCUUUAGGUUCGGAAUAACUCAGGGAAACUUGUGCUAAUACCGAAUGUGCCCUUCGGGGGAAAGAUUUAUCGCCUUUAGAGCGGCCCGCGUCUGAUUAGCUAGUUGGUGAGGUAAAGGCUCACCAAGGCGACGAUCAGUAGCUGGUCUGAGAGGAUGAUCAGCCACAUUGGGACUGAGACACGGCCCAAACUCCUACGGGAGGCAGCAGUGGGGAAUCUUGCGCAAUGGGCGAAAGCAUGACGCAGCCAUGCCGCGUGAAUGAUGAAGGUCUUAGGAUUGUAAAAUUCUUUCACCGGGGACGAUAAUGACGGUACCCGGAGAAGAAGCCCCGGCUAACUUCGUG
Molecule: ribosomal RNA, 433 nt
Filed under: uncultured bacterium
Lineage: Bacteria
Description: partial 16S ribosomal RNA
Rfam family: Bacterial small subunit ribosomal RNA
Source: RNAcentral